CCCAGACUCCUACGGGAGGCAGCAGUGGGGGAUAUUGCACAAUGGGGGGAACCCUGAUGCAGCGACGCCGCGUGGGUGAAGGAGCGUUUCGGCGCGUAAAGCCCUAUCGGCAGGGAAGAAGGAGGACGGUACCUGACUAAGAAGCCCCGGCUAACUACGUGCCAGCAGCCGCGGUAAUACGUAGGGGGCAAGCGUUAUCCGGAUUUGCUGGGUGUAAAGGGGGCGCAGACGGCAGCGCAAGCCAGGAGUGAAAGCCCGGGGCCCAACCCCGGGACUGCUCUUGGAACUGCGCGGCUGGAGUGCAGGAGGGGCAGGCGGAACUCCUGGUGUAGCGGUGAAAUGCGUAGAUAUCAGGAGGAACACCGGUGGCGAAGGCGGCCUGCUGGACUGCGACUGACGUUGAGGCCCGAAAGCGUGGGGAGCAAACAGGAUUAGAUACCCCCGUAAU
Molecule: ribosomal RNA, 448 nt
Filed under: uncultured bacterium
Lineage: Bacteria
Description: partial 16S ribosomal RNA
Rfam family: Bacterial small subunit ribosomal RNA
Source: RNAcentral